Molecule: long non-coding RNA, 700 nt
Filed under: Toxoplasma gondii VEG
Lineage: Eukaryota; Apicomplexa; Conoidasida; Eucoccidiorida; Sarcocystidae
Source: RNAcentral
AGAAGAUGGAGGUAAUUCAAGAGUCGAAUCAUAGAUAGCUUGCGUACGGAAAGGAAUCAGAGGCCUCUAGGACGAGAAUGGAUGUAAUGUUGUGGCAGGUUCACCCGGUGCUUCAGCCUGUCUCUUCGGUUGUGACGGCCACCUAGAGGGCCCUUUUCCCCUAUUUCGGAACUAUAUGACAACGCAUGUGUUCGUGCUCCAACACACGGCGUUUCUCUUCCAACAUUAACGAUUGUGAAUAUCUUUUCGAACAGAUUCUACUUGUAGUUUUUCGAGGGUCUGAUCCACAUAGACGUCGUAACCAGGCAAACGCUUGCGUACAGACUUGCAUGAAGUAUGUAUCUGCUGAACGAGUGUCUUGCAAACCGUCCACUGUUUUCGAGAUACAUGCUGCUUCUCUUCAUUCCUUUAUCUCAGGCCACUUCAAUGCUUGGUACACAAUCCAUGUAGUCGUCACUCCAUGAACUCGACUUUUCGAUUGAGCCGCUCGCGUCCACCGUCGGCUUUGCGAACCCGUCGCUGUCCGUCCUCUGGCGACACCUGCGUUUUUAACUGAUGUGGAAUAACCUUAAUGUGUAGUAUAUUGAAAGGCAACACUUUCAGCUGUCCUAAGCAGUCCAGUGGGGUGGUGGUGUACAGUUUCUUGAUGAAGCAAUGUGUGAAUGAAGUUGUGUGCAGUCCCGUUAAGGUGUUGAGGGGG